UGGGGAAUAUUGGACAAUGGGCGAAAGCCUGAUCCAGCCAUGCCGCGUGUGUGAAGAAGGUCUUCGGAUUGUAAAGCACUUUAAGUUGGGAGGAAGGGCAUUAACCUAAUACGUUAGUGUUUUGACGUUACCGACAGAAUAAGCACCGGCUAACUCUGUGCCAGCAGCCGCGGUAAUACAGAGGGUGCAAGCGUUAAUCGGAAUUACUGGGCGUAAAGCGCGCGUGGGUGGUUUGUUAAGUUGGAUGUGAAAUCCCCGGGCUCAACCUGGGAACUGCAUUCAAAACUGACUGACUAGAGUAUGGUAGAGGGUGGUGGAAUUUCCUGUGUAGCGGUGAAAUGCGUAGAUAUAGGAAGGAACACCAGUGGCGAAGGCGACCACCUGGACUAAUACUGACACUGAGGUGCGAAAGCGUGGGGAGCAAACA
RNAcentral lists this ribosomal RNA (427 nucleotides) under uncultured bacterium. RNAcentral describes it as "partial 16S ribosomal RNA". It matches the Rfam family "Bacterial small subunit ribosomal RNA", at positions 355 to 774 of the family's 1533-position model. The record is from RNAcentral.